Molecule: long non-coding RNA, 346 nt
Filed under: Nicotiana benthamiana
Lineage: Eukaryota; Viridiplantae; Streptophyta; Magnoliopsida; Solanales; Solanaceae
Description: long non-coding RNA (NBEN_LNC038068)
Source: RNAcentral
CAAAAUAUGAAAAAAUAAGAGAGAAUCUGGUGGAAUUAGGCUAUCCCUCAAUAACAAUAAAAGCUGAUUUUGAAUGGAAGAAUGAGAGUAUUCAAUUUCCAAACAGUUUUGUCGAAUUAUAAAUGGAAGAAUGAGAGUAGUAUCUCGAAACAGUUUUGAAGAAUUCUGUUUGGAGGAAUGACUGUAGUCAAUUUUGAAACAGUUUUGUUGAAAAUAUGCACUGGAUCUUCCGUUACCUUAAUCUGUUUAGUUUAGAGGAUAUAUUUGGAGCAUUUAAUAUGUUACCUUAAUGUAAGGGAAAUUUAUUUGGUAGUAAAUCAAACAUUUAUUAACAUUCAAAGCUNNN